CAAAUAAUUUGUGAUUGUAUGGGCUUUUUUUUUCUCUUCAA
RNAcentral lists this small RNA (41 nucleotides) under Arabidopsis thaliana (thale cress). Its description in RNAcentral is "ATSL179790". Lineage: Eukaryota; Viridiplantae; Streptophyta; Magnoliopsida; Brassicales; Brassicaceae. The record is from RNAcentral.